AAGUUGAUAAUGAAGUUCACAUAUCUGAACUGGUGGUCGGUCUAAAAACUUCUACAGCAUCUGAAAUCCAGCACAGAGCUGAUAGUGGAUCUGAGAUGUGCCAGAUGACGGCAGAACUGGACUGAAAAUCAGUGGUAACAGGUCUGAUGGAGGGAUGAAUCCUCCUCAGAGCCCAGACCUGAAAAUCAUGAAGAAAUGUGGAAUCAUGUUAACAGAGAUCAGAACAAGAAGCAGCCAGCGUGUUUCUGUAAAUCUCUGCUUUUUUUCUGCCUUUUUUUUCUCUUUUUCCUGGAGUGGCGCCAGACUUUUGCACAGUACUGUCCCCCAAAGUAAGAAUCCACCUUCCAUCCCUGUGAUGGACACACACCAUCAAAUGUUCUUCAUGAUAACUUUUGUAUGUUUAAGAACUCAUUUCUGUGCCACAUGAGUAAACUGUGGAAUUCUCUUCUCUUCUCUUCUUUUCCGGGUGCCGGGGGGUGUCCCGGUGCCCGAGACGUCCUGACUGAGGACAACAUUGUCAAAUACUGAAGUGAGUGCAUCCAGUUUCCAGCUCGGACCGUUAGAGUCUCCAUCCACUGGGACAGUGCCUGAGAUCACCAUCGAAGCCACUUCACUAAUGUCCACCAUCCACCUUCGAUCUCCACCUGAAGCCACCACCAUUGGCUU
Melanotaenia boesemani (Boeseman's rainbowfish) is the source of this 666-nucleotide long non-coding RNA. RefSeq lists it as uncharacterized. The transcript is spliced from 3 exons. Lineage: Eukaryota; Metazoa; Chordata; Actinopteri; Atheriniformes; Melanotaeniidae. The record is from RefSeq and is a predicted model, not a curated record.